Malania oleifera is the source of this 562-nucleotide long non-coding RNA. RefSeq lists it as uncharacterized. The transcript is spliced from 2 exons. The record is from RefSeq and is a predicted model, not a curated record. Lineage: Eukaryota; Viridiplantae; Streptophyta; Magnoliopsida; Santalales; Ximeniaceae.
AGAUUACUUAAACGCUAAGUUAGGUUUUAUUCUAUAAACUCUCUCAUUCUCUCUCUCUCUCUCUCAUUCUCUCUCUCUCUCUCUAGGAUUUCGCGUCAUCCAUUGCCGGAAUCCACGAUCCGUCGUUACCACGUGGGUUAGGAGGAGAAUCUCUACGGUUAUUGUGGAACAGAUCUUUGAUUGUGGAAUUUCGGGAUUUUCCCUAAAAUCGAGGUCUUUCAGGACCUCGGUCCUAGUUGCUAAAGCAACUGGGAGGGUGGUUUUUUGUUUAGUUGUGUAAGUAUUCGGUUAUGUAAUAAACUUAGUUAGAAGCAUUUUUUUGGAGGUUGUAAACACUGAUUUAUGUAUUAAGUUGGAUGUUUGUGAAUUUAAGAAUACAGUUGGUAGACUCUGGUAUAUAUCUAGUAUAAAUCCCAAUGGAUAUUUAUAUUUUUCCGCGACAUUUAUAUCCCAGUUUUGUAUGAUUUAUACCCGUAUGUCCCUAUUUAAGGCGAGUUGUUCAUGUAUGUCUAUCAAGUACAGGUUAUUAUGUAUGUAGGUUGGCAACCUGCGUUCGUAUAAA